Molecule: ribosomal RNA, 377 nt
Filed under: uncultured eukaryote
Lineage: Eukaryota
Description: partial 18S ribosomal RNA
Rfam family: Eukaryotic small subunit ribosomal RNA
Source: RNAcentral
CAAUAGCGUAUAUUUAAGUUGCUGCAGUUAAAAAGCUCGUAGUUGGAUUUCGGGUGGGAAUGGGCGGUCCGCCGUUUCGGUGUGCACUUGCUACGCCCACCUUGCUGCCGGGGACGUGCUCUUGAGUUCACGCUCGGGACACGGAGUCGGCGAGGUUACUUUGAGUAAAUUAGAGUGUUCAAAGCAGGCCUACGCUCUGAAUACAUUAGCAUGGAAUAACACGAUAGGACUCUGGCCUAUCUUGUUGGUCUGUAGGACCGGAGUAAUGAUUAAGAGGGACAGUCGGGGGCAUUCGUAUUUCAUUGUCAGAGGUGAAAUUCUUGGAUUUAUGAAAGACGAACUACUGCGAAAGCAUUUGCCAAGGAUGUUUUCAUUAA